AACGAACGCUGGCGGCAUGCCUAACACAUGCAAGUCGAACGAUCCCUUCGGGGAUAGUGGCGCACGGGUGCGUAACGCGUGGGAACCUGCCCUUAGGUUCGGAAUAACUCAGAGAAAUUUUAGCUAAUACCGGAUAAUGUCUUCGGACCAAAGAUUUAUCGCCUUUGGAUGGGCCCGCGUUGGAUUAGCUAGUUGGUGGGGUAAAGGCCUACCAAGGCGACGAUCCAUAGCUGGUCUGAGAGGAUGAUCAGCCACACUGGGACUGAGACACGGCCCAGACUCCUACGGGAGGCAGCAGUGGGGAAUAUUGGACAAUGGGCGAAAGCCUGAUCCAGCAAUGCCGCGUGAGUGAUGAAGGCCUUAGGGUUGUAAAGCUCUUUUACCCGGGAUGAUAAUGACAGUACCGGGAGAAUAAGCCCCGGCUAACUCCGUG
This 433-nucleotide ribosomal RNA is filed under the name uncultured bacterium. Its description in RNAcentral is "partial 16S ribosomal RNA". It matches the Rfam family "Bacterial small subunit ribosomal RNA", at positions 29 to 507 of the family's 1533-position model. The record is from RNAcentral.